RNAcentral lists this ribosomal RNA (1970 nucleotides) under human gut metagenome. RNAcentral describes it as "bacterial LSU rRNA". It matches the Rfam family "Bacterial large subunit ribosomal RNA", at positions 3 to 1983 of the family's 2925-position model. The record is from RNAcentral.
UUAAGCUACAAAGGGCAUAUGGUGGAUGCCUAGGCGUUCCGAGCCGAUGAAGGACGCGAUAAGCUGCGAUAAGUCAUGGGGAGCCGCAAGUAGGCUUUGAUCCAUGGAUUUCCGAAUGGGGCAACCCGGUACGAGUCAUGUCGUACCAUCCGAAAGGAAGGCACACCCGGUGAACUGAAACAUCUAAGUAGCCGGAGGAAGAGUAAUCAAACGAGAUUCCCUCAGUAGCGGCGAGCGAACAGGGAAGAGCCCAAACCGGACGUCUUCGGACGACCGGGGUUGAGGACCAGCAUCAAGGGAAGGCAAGAUAGCCGAACAGUCUGGGAAGGCUGAGCACAGACGGUGAAACUCCGGUAGGCGAAAUCUUACCCAACGGGCUGGUAUCCAGAGUACCACGAGACACGUGAAACCUUGUGGGAAGCAGGGUGGACCACCAUCCAAGGCAAAAUACUACGGAACGACCGAUAGCGCAUAGUACCGUGAGGGAAAGGUGAAAAGAACCGCGGGAGCGGAGUGAAAUAGAACCUGAAACCGUAUGUCUACAAGCAGUCGAAGCACUUUAUAUGUGCGACGGCGUGCCUAUUGAAGAAUGAACCGGCGAGUUAAUUUCAGAGGCGAGGUUAAGCGGGAGACGCGGAGCCGAAGCGAGAGCGAGUCUGAAUAGGGCGUAAGUCUCUGGGAUUAGACCCGAAACCACAGUGAUCUAUGCAUGGCCAGGUUGAAGCUCAGGUAAAAAUGAGUGGAGGACCGAACCCGUGAGUGUUGAAAAACUUUGGGAUGAGCUGUGCAUAGGGGUGAAAUGCCAAUCGAACGUGGAGAUAGCUGGUUCUCCCCGAAAUAGCUUUAGGGCUAGCCUCAGGUAACACAUGGAGACGGUAGAGCACUGAUCGGGUAAGGGAGCGUAAAGCUUACCGAGCCUAGUCAAACUGCGAAUGGCUUCAUGAGAAGAGCCUGGGAGUCAGAAUGCGAGUGAUAAGACCCGUAUUCAAAAGGGAAACAGCCCAGAUCGCCGACUAAGGUCCCAAAUGCUGUACUAAGUGGAAAAGGAUGUAGGACUUCCAAAACAACCAGGAUGUUGGCUCAGAAGCAGCCACCAUUCAAAGAGUGCGUAAUAGCUCACUGGUCGAGAGGCCCUGCGCCGAAAAUAUCCGGGGCUCAAGUACAGAACCGAAGUCGCGGGAUGCGCAAGCAUCGGUAGGGGAGCGUUCCAAGCAGGUUGAAGGCAGACCGGAAGGACAGCUGGACAGCUUGGAAGUGAGAAUGCUGGUAUGAGUAGCGAAACGAUCCGUGAGAAUCGGAUCCACCGAAAGCCUAAGGGAUCCUGAGCAACGCUCGUCGUCUCAGGGUAAGUCGGGACCUAAGCCGAGGCAUAAAGCAUAGGCGAUGGACAACAGGCGAAAAUUCCUGUACUGCAUGAUGUUGUUUGAGGAUGGAGUGACACAGCAAGGAGCUUGAGCGCGCGAUUGGAAAUGCGCGUCGAAGGCGGUAGGCUGGUACAGAGGCAAAUCCCUGUACCAAGGCCGAGAACUGAUAGAUAGACAAUCCCUUCGGGGAGCGUCAAAUUCAAGCGUACUACACUGUCGAGAAAAGCUUCUAACGAGACAUCAUGUACCCGUACCAAAACCGACACAGGUAGGCGGGGAGAGAAUCCUAAGGUGCGCGGGAAAACCCUCGUUAAGGAACUCGGCAAAAUGCAUCCGUAACUUCGGGAGAAGGAUGGCCGGAGCUGGUGAAGACCUUCGCGGUUGGAGCUGGAGCCGGCGGCAGAAGAGAAGCCCAAGCGACUGUUUACCACAAACACAGGUGCCUGCUAAAGAGAAAUCUGACGUAUAGGUGCUGACACCUGCCCGGUGCUGGAAGGUUAAGAGGAGAGGUCAUUCGCAAGAAGAAGCUUUGAAUUGAAGCCCCAGUAAACGGCGGCCGUAACUAUAACGGUCCUAAGGUAGCGAAAUUCCUUGUCGGGUAAGUUC